ACCAAACACCUGUGUCUGUGUGUUCCAAAAUAUGAUAUCAAAUUCUUACAUCCUACCUAAACUAACAACUUGCAGGACCCGUUCACAUAGAUUGACUUUUAAAGCUCAAACUUUAUUACAGCUUCAUUAGACCCAAAUUCUGUUAACAGAUCAAGAACAUUUUUUGAUCUGGCUAGCGCACUGGUUCGCAAGCUUGCUUCACUUGCAACUGAGGAAAUUAUUCAGGCUUGGAAUCUUCACGAUGAUCUUAUCACUCUGCGCGAAAGGCUGGAAUCCAUUGAUGCUCUCUUGUCGGAUGCUGCUGCCAAAAUACUAACUAUGUCUUCUGUGAAAAACUGGUUCAGCAAACUUGAAGCUGUGGCUCAUGUAGCUGAGGCUUUUAUGGAUCAACUUGCAUAUGAAGCUACUCGAAGAAAAGUGGAGGAUCGUCAUAAGGUAAGGGACUUGUUUAUUCCUUCUAAAAACACCUUAUUAUAUCAUUUCAAGGUGGCUCACAAUAUUAAGUCUAUUCAUGCUUCUUUUGACAAAAUUUGCAAAUAUGCGGGAGAUAUUGGACUUAAGCCAGUAGAGCAUUUAAGUUAUAGUGUGCAUCACAGAGAGAUCCGCCAUACCCCACCCUUUGAAGACGAGUCACAAAUUGUCGGAAGAGAUAAAGAUUUAUCAUAUAUAGUCCAAAUUGUAUGCAAGAAACAUGAUCAGGAUUUACAAGUUGUUGCUGUAGCGGGGAUGGGAGGUCAAGCUUGCUCGUAUGGUUUACAAUACGAGUAAUGUGAUUAAAAUGUUUUCAAAGAGAAUGUGGGUUACUGUAUCUUAUGAUUUUGAUUUCAUGAAUAUACUGAAUCAAAUGGUGGUAUCACUUACUUCAGCCACUUCUGAGUUGGAAAAUACGGAAGGACUAAUAAAAAAAUUGCAGAUGUAUUUGAAGGGCGAAAAGUUUUUACUAGUACUAGAUGAUGUCUGGAAUGAGAAACCAGAAGUGUGGGAUAACUUGAGGAAUUCUUUGCUUGCAGUUGGUGGGGCUAGAGGAAGCAAUAUCUUAGUUACUACUCGCAAACAAGAAGUCAUUGACGCCAUGCAAUGUCUUGUUUCUUAUCAGCUGGAAAAACUUUCAGACGAAUGUAGUUGGGCCUUGUUCAAGCAAAGAGCAUUUUCCCAAGGAGGAGUUUUGGAAACAGAGACAUUUGCGGGCUUGGGGAGAAGAAUGGUGGAGAGGUGUGGUGGCCUGCCUCUGGCAAUAAAAACACUAGGGGGUUUGUUGCACUCAAAGAAGUCUGAACAGGAGUGGUUGCUGAUAGAGAAUAGUGAAAUAUGGAAAUCUAAAGGUGUAUUAUCUUCCUUGAGGUUAUCUUACGACAAUUUACCCUAUUCCUCUCUAAAAAAAUGCUUUGCAUUUUGCUCUACUAUGCCAAAGGAUUCAAAAAUUUAUAAAGAUCAACUAGUACAAACAUGGAUGGCAUUAGGACUCCUAUUGCCUCCCAAAGAUAGCAAUGUGCUCAUGGAAGAUGUUGGUAAUGAGUACUUCAACAUUCUGUUGUGGAAUUCUUUGUUGCAAGAUGUUCAAAGGGAUAAAUAUGGAAACAUCACCACUUGCAAGAUGCAUGAUCUAGUACAUGAUCUUGCGACAGAUCUAUCCAAACAUCACUCUACAACUCUGAUGGGAGGACAUGAGCUAGACCAUACUUUAAAGCCAAUUUACGUUAGGCUUGAUAAAGGGGUCUCGAAUAUAAGACCAGCCAUUCUUAAGAGUAAUUUUUUGAGAGCACAAGUACUAUAUUCAGGGGUUCGUGUAGUUAGUGACAUAUUACCUUGUCUCAAACACUUGACUGUUUUGAUUUUGAAUGCUAAUAAUGUAACUAGCGAGUUGCCAAGUUCAUUGCGGAAGGUGAAGUAUCUUAAACAUCUUGAUAUCUCUUGUUUCCAUUACAGAUUGCCUAGCUACAUCACAGAACUAUACAACCUGCAGACUUUGAGAGUUUGGAAUCUGGAAGAGCUUCCCAAAAACUUUUGCAACUUGAUUAAUUUGAGACAUCUUGUCAUCGAGAAUAAAUAUAUGAAAAAGAGUCAUAGAACAAGAUGCAUGUUUGUCGGGAUACAGAGGCUAACUUGUCUACAAACGCUGCCUCAUUUUGUUGCUAGUCGAGAUCAAAAUUGCCUCGUUGGACAAUUGGGAGGGUUAAACAACCUUAGAGGUAAGCUUGACCUCUAUGGCCUUAGUGACGUUGAAAAUAUGGAAGAAGCAAGCAAUGCAAAGCUUGAUACAAAGUUUAAUAUUGAGCAUUUGCUCUUAAAUUGGAGUAACAAUGAUGAUGAAAGGGAAGACAGGGGAUACAAAGAUGAAGAUGUGAUGGAAGGAUUAAAACCCCACAGAAAUCUGAAAGAAUUGACGAUUGACUACUUUAAGGGGCAAAAAUAUGCAUCAUGGAUUACAGUGAUGAUAAACUUGGUGAAAAUCACAUUCAAAAAUUGCACAAGAUGUGAAACCCUAUUGCCACUAGGUCACCUUCCUAAACUGAGAGAGAUGAAGAUAAUUGGGUUAUCUAAUAUCAAGGUUAUCGGGACUGAUUUCUAUGAAGUUCUAGGUGGAAUUAGUAGCGAUUCCAGUGUACCAGGGACAACUCAAGAAGUUACAACAAUGUAUCCAUCAAUGAAAAAACUCCUUCUGUUGAAUUUGCCAAAGCUAAAAGAAUGGCUUGAACCAUUUACGAGUACAGGGCGUGAAAGCCUGCUAGUAUUUCCUAUACUUGAGGAGUUAUGCAUCCGGAAUUGUCCAACAUUGACAAGGAUCCCAAGGAUUUGUUUUCCAUCUUUAAAGAAGUUGGAAAUCACAAAUCUGUUCAACAGUAUGAUACUAGAAACAAUGAGCGGAAAUGUUAACUCUCUCACGUGUCUACUACUCUGGAAUAUCCGUGCCAGAGGAGGCUCUUCUUCAUCGUCAAAUAGGCUUUCUGCACUGGACGAGCUCUUGAGAAACAAUUCUAUGUCUUUGACAACUUUGCACCUAAAUGACUACCAAGGAUUGACAUGCCUGACCCUUGGUGACGCUCUUGAGGAAUUAGAAGUGGUUAACUGCCCUGAUCUAACAAGGAUUGAUGUAGUUGAAGGGUCAUGUAAGGUAAACGAUCUUACGAUUGGGAGCUGUCCCUCGCUGUCAGACUGGGCAUUUGUCCGAAGUAUGAGGUCCACACUUGUAAGACUGACACUAGGUCCCUUCUCCGAGGAAUUAGAUGAAUUUCCAUGGUCCUUUUCUUCUUCCGUGAUAUCCUUUAUUAGCCUAACCUCACUUACUCUGUAUGGCUGGAGAAAUGUAAAGUCUAUACUUCCUGCAGAGAAACUUGAUGAAAGUCUUUCCUCCACCUUCCCUGCCUUGACUGAACUGCAUAUAAUUAAUUUUGAUGGAGUGGAAGAUCUCCCAGACUUACUAGCAACGCUUCCAUGUCUAGUAACUCUUUAUAUUCGGAACUGUAAGAAUUUGAGGAGCUUACCCACGUUUAACGAAUCACACAGCCUUCAUUACCUGGAUAUACAUCGCUGUCCUAUUCUUCAAGAAAAAUGUAGGAAGGGGAGAGGGCCAGAAUGGUUCAAGAUUCAACAUAUUCCGUAUGUAUUUGGUAUAUUUGAUCAACCAUGCAUAACUAAGAACAAACAAGUGAAUGUUCUUUAAAUUCCUGGAAAAAUAUUGCCAAGUGCAUCUAAUUCAUCCCUAUUAUUUCUACUACAUAUGUUCUUGAUAUAUCUUGAUUUUUUUGCUUAAAUGUGAGAUUGAGUAAGGUGGAUCUUAACAUUUCACAACUUCUUUUGAGCUUACUAAUCAAAGAUAUUGCAGGGAAAUGGCACAGAAUGAUUCAACAGUCAGCAUAUUCGAUAAAUAGUACUUAGUGGCAGUGACUAGUGACAUUUGCUACACAGGGCAAUCAAGCUCAUGUCUCGGAUCACGCUCUCAUGCUUUCUGGCUAAUUGGAUCGUGAAAUCGAGUUCACCCACCUCAGUGAAGAAGCCAGAGGUGGUGUAAUGCAGGUUUCUAUAUGAUAUAGAGAUCUGAAUUCAAUUUUCAAGAAGUUCAUCAAUGUCUACAAAAGUCUCUUGGUGUUUAUUAUAAUCCAUUUACAAAUCUAUUGGUCUCUCUUAUGCCAAUGUGGUUUAGAAAAAACCCAAAAUAUGGAAUUUUUCCUAAAAAAUAAGAGACUAACUUUUGUUGGGUAUUGCUAAAUGCAGUAAAAUUUUACUUUGUGCA
Molecule: RNA transcript, 4231 nt
Organism: Daucus carota subsp. sativus
Lineage: Eukaryota; Viridiplantae; Streptophyta; Magnoliopsida; Apiales; Apiaceae
Gene name: putative disease resistance protein RGA3
Exons: 2
Source: RefSeq, a predicted model, not a curated record